AAACAUAUGCAUGUCUGCUACCUGGAACCCAUAGGAAGUGCAAGCUUCUUACUGCUCUCCUGUUUUCUUUGCAGCAAGAGGUUUCUGAGAGAGUUGACCCCAUUUUGUCUCUUGGGUGCAACCGUAAGCAUUCCUGCAUCAGCUCCUCCUUUCUGCUUGUAAGAAUCAUCCAAUUUCUUUGGUGAUAGCUGAGUGAUAGAGUUUGCCAAGUUUCCGUAACCAUGGUUCAUGUGGAUGUUCCGUCCAUAUAGCAGACCUGACCUGGGACUCUCAGAAGCUGCAGCUGUCAGAUUCCGCACUUCGGUGCAUAUGAUUUCCUUUGUGUUAGGAGGUUUGAAUUCUCCAGUUGUUGCAUGAUCGUCUGUUCUCAUAUGAUCAAAUAAUCUGGGCUGACAUUUAGAUUUUGUAGUAGCAGGACUAGAUAUCAACUUCUCUGAUAGAGAUGCAUCACUUGGUUUCUCUGAAGCAGCAACUAUGUCACAAUCCUGCAAGAUCAUACAAUUAAUUUUGUUUAAGGUCUCAAUACUAAGGUAAUUUCAUAGUCAUUAUAUCGUAUUCGUCCAUCUGAAACAAGAAAUUUGAAUUAAAGACACAACUGCUUGAGAAUCAGAAGUACACAACUAAAGUUGCAACUUCAAUUAAAGGAUACCGAAAUCAGUGGAUGUCUUGAACAAGCAUUUGGUCAGACCUGCUCACAAUUCCUCCUGAUACUUGUGGUGUGUUUAGCAUUCAUAAACCCAUAUUUACUGAAAUAAUAGUAGAACCAACAAGAUCUACCAGGCAUGUAUCAUCAAUUAGCCUAUAACCUCAGAACAAUAGUUAGCUUCAUAUUUCUCAUAUAUAGUGUGCCAAUAGGUCCAGAGAAAAUUUAAUUUACAUUUAACAAUUAUAUCACUGAAGAUAAUAGGACUUACUGCCUGGAUUUGCUUUUCGUCUUGGGUCAUGAUAUACUUUGGAGUUUCCUUAGAUGAAGCACUGUGCCAGAGAGAGUUAAAGAUUUCAGAUGAUAUUUAUAAGAUUUUCGGUAAAAGAAAAGCACACAAAAGAAAUAAUUCAUACAUUUCUAACUGAAGCUGUAGUUCUAGACAUGCUUCCUCUAGUUCUUCACAGCAAUUGCUUUUGUGCCCCAGUUCAACCUCAAGGGAUGAGAGUUUUUGAUAAGCCUCAUUCAGUUCAGCCUUUGCAACUGUUAGCUGCACUCCAAGAUCUUCACUAAUUAACUUUUGGCUUAGAACCUGGUUUUCAAUCUGCCCGUUGGACUCCUUAAGUGUUGCUAGCUCUAUUUGUAAAUUGGAAAUGUCUUCUUCUGAUUCAUGGAUUUGAGCUAUCAAUGUCUUAUUCUUAGUACUAGAUGCUUGUAGCAUUUCCUCCAAAUCUUUCUUUCUGGACUCCAUACACAUGAUCUCCGAUUUUAGAUGCUCAUUUUCACAUUUCAGAUUGGAUUCAAUAUCCUCCAUGGUAAACAAGAUACACAAACCAUUUGAUGCAGAGACUAAAGGUAUUUUUCUUUCUUUAUCAAAACUGGGUUCUUCAUGUCCAUCUAACUUAUCGUUAUCUUUAGUUGUGUAUAUUACAGCCUUAAGUUCAUUAUCACUGCAUGAUUUAUCUGCAUCCAAGUAUUUCCUAAACAUCUCCUUCAUGUCUGAAACUUCUUGAAGGGCGAAAGAGUGGUUUGCAAUCCAGUCC
RNAcentral lists this long non-coding RNA (1686 nucleotides) under Musa acuminata (dwarf banana). RNAcentral describes it as "long non-coding RNA (MACU_LNC005956)". Lineage: Eukaryota; Viridiplantae; Streptophyta; Magnoliopsida; Zingiberales; Musaceae. The record is from RNAcentral.